GACGUAGGGGGCGAACGUUAUCCGGAAUUAUUGGGCGUAAAGGGUGCGUAGAUGGUCUGACAAGUUAACAGUGGUAAAUCGAGGCUCAACCUCGUGGAAACUGAUAAUACUGUCUGGCUCGAGUACAGAAGAGGUUAACGGAAUUCCAUGUGGAGCGGUAAAAUGCAUAGAUAUAUGGAAGAACACCAAUAACGGCGAAGGCAGUUAACUAUGCUGUUACUGACAUUGAGGCACGAAAGCGUGGGGAGCAAAACGG
RNAcentral lists this ribosomal RNA (256 nucleotides) under uncultured bacterium. RNAcentral describes it as "partial 16S ribosomal RNA". It matches the Rfam family "Bacterial small subunit ribosomal RNA", at positions 524 to 776 of the family's 1533-position model. The record is from RNAcentral.